CAGGACACUGAGUUAAAUGUGAAUUUCAGGUAAACAAUGAAUAAUAUUUUAGUAUAAGUAUGUCCCAUACAAUAUUUGGGACAUACUUAUACUAAAAAAAAAUUAAUUGAUUGUCUGAGAUUUACAUUUAAGCUAGAGUCCUAUA
Molecule: microRNA precursor, 145 nt
Filed under: Loxodonta africana (African savanna elephant)
Lineage: Eukaryota; Metazoa; Chordata; Mammalia; Proboscidea; Elephantidae
Description: miRNA (ENSLAFG00000028845.1)
Rfam family: mir-1302 microRNA precursor family (bases 46-97)
Source: RNAcentral